Molecule: ribosomal RNA, 497 nt
Filed under: uncultured bacterium
Lineage: Bacteria
Description: partial 16S ribosomal RNA
Rfam family: Bacterial small subunit ribosomal RNA
Source: RNAcentral
GAUGAACGCUGGCGGCGUGCUUAAUACAUGCAAGUCGAGCGAACGGACGAGAAGCUUGCUUCUCUGAUGUUAGCGGCGGACGGGUGAGUAACACGUGGAUAACCUACCUAUAAGACUGGGAUAACUUCGGGAAACCGUAGCUAAUACCGGAUAAUAUUUUGAACCGCAUGGUUCAAAAGUGAAAGACGGCCUUUCUGUCACUUAUAGAUGGAUCCGCGCUGCAUUAGCUAGUUGGUAAGGUAACGGCUUACCAAGGCAACGAUGCAUAGCCGACCUGAGAGGGGGAUCGGCCACACUGGAACGGAGACACGGUCCAGACUCCUACGGGAGGCAGCAGUAGGGAAUCUGCCGCAAAGGGCGAAAGCCUGACGGAGCAACGCCGCGUGAGUGAUGAAGGUCUUCGGAUCGUAAAACUCUGUUAUUAGGGAAGAACAUAUGUGUAAGUAACUGUGCACAGCUUGACGGUACCGAAUCAGAAAGCCACGGCUAACUACGUG